GCCGGGGUAGCUCAGCUGGGAGAGCGCUCGGCUGAAGUCUCCCAGUAGAAACCGAGAGGUCCCGGGUUCAAAUCCCGGCCCCGGCA
This 86-nucleotide transfer RNA is filed under the name Infirmifilum uzonense. RNAcentral describes it as "Thermofilum uzonense tRNA". It matches the Rfam family "tRNA". Rfam says of the family: Transfer RNA (tRNA) molecules are approximately 80 nucleotides in length. The record is from Rfam by way of RNAcentral. Lineage: Archaea; Thermoproteati; Thermoproteota; Thermoprotei; Thermofilales; Thermofilaceae.